RNAcentral lists this small RNA (80 nucleotides) under Flavobacterium sp. 9. RNAcentral describes it as "Flavo-1 RNA". It matches the Rfam family "Flavo-1 RNA". Lineage: Bacteria; Pseudomonadati; Bacteroidota; Flavobacteriia; Flavobacteriales; Flavobacteriaceae. The record is from RNAcentral.
UUUUAGCCCCGAUAGAAGUGAAAAUCCUUUUACUUUUUUCUUUAAAAAGUAAAAGAUUGUAACGGAUAGCGGGAUUAGCU